Molecule: long non-coding RNA, 515 nt
Organism: Monomorium pharaonis (pharaoh ant)
Lineage: Eukaryota; Metazoa; Arthropoda; Insecta; Hymenoptera; Formicidae
Exons: 2
Source: RefSeq, a predicted model, not a curated record
AACGUCGCUGCCGUUCGCGUUUUUAUUGUACCUCAAGACACGAACUGACGUAGAACUGCCGAAUAUCGAAUAUACCAAAACAUGAUCGUAGGGAUGAUAAUCCACGCAGAUAUUUAAUACGGAUUCCUCGCUACCGCAUAUAACAAAUCCACCGCAGGGAGAUAUACAGGCUUUUAACUGUAUUCUAUAAAGAAUAAAGAAAAAUUUGAUAAAUUACAAAUUUUAAUAAAAAAUUAACCAGUGCAAGACAACAGCAGAAUAGAACGAAAAAGGGAUAAUGAUAUGAAACAAAUAUAAAGUAUUAUUAGUGAAAGAGAUUUGGAGAAUUGUUGAGACAAGAUUACAAUGAUGAAUAGAAUAAAACAAGCAGCUAAAAAUAACCAUGGGAAAAAGUGUCAGUGAACAAUAUUCAAUUAACUUAAAUUGAAAUAGAAACAUCAAGGCAUAUGAUAGAGAAAAAACAAACACGAAUAAAAAGAGAAAAUAGAAUAAGGAAAUAAAUAUUUAAAAAAUGC